This 376-nucleotide ribosomal RNA is filed under the name uncultured bacterium. Its description in RNAcentral is "bacterial SSU rRNA". It matches the Rfam family "Bacterial small subunit ribosomal RNA", at positions 524 to 898 of the family's 1533-position model. The record is from RNAcentral.
CACGUAGGGGGCAAGCGUUGUCCGGAAUUACUGGGCGUAAAGAGCGCGUAGGUGGUUAAGUAAGUCAGGUGUGAAAGGCCAGGGCUCAACCCUGGGACUGCACUUGAAACUGCUUAACUUGAGGGCAGGAGAGGUAAGUGGAAUUCCCAGUGUAGCGGUGAAAUGCGUAGAUAUUGGGAGGAACACCAGUGGCGAAAGCGACUUACUGGCCUGGCUCUGACACUGAGGCGCGAAAGCGUGGGGAGCGAACAGGAUUAGAUACCCUGGUAGUCCACGCCGUAAACGAUGGGUACUAGGUGUAGGAGGUAUCGACCCCUUCUGUGCCGCAGCAAACGCAUUAAGUACCCCGCCUGGGGAGUACGGCCGCAAGGUUGAA